This is a long non-coding RNA of Terrapene triunguis (Three-toed box turtle), 1879 nucleotides long. RefSeq lists it as uncharacterized. Lineage: Eukaryota; Metazoa; Chordata; Testudines; Emydidae. The transcript has 3 exons. The record is from RefSeq and is a predicted model, not a curated record.
AGUACUCAUUAAAAAAAAUCUGUUCUUUCGCUCCCUCUGGCAGGCUGAAGGUGAAUGCCCACAGCAGGCUGGUGAAGAUGAUGAAGAUCUCAGUCCUUGCCAGGUGCUCCCCCAAACACACAUGGUGCCCUGCAGAGGGACAAGGGGAAGGGCAGGCACCCUCAUUCUGCCAAAUUUAGACUCUGUCCUCUUUGAUCCUGAGAAAUGGGAGUCUCCUCGACAGUUCAGCCCAAGUCGUUUCUUGGAUAAGGAAGGAAAUUUUGUGAGCAGAGAAGCUUUUUUACCAUUCUCAACAGGGUCCCGUGUGUGUUUGGGGGAGCAGCUGGCAAGGAGUGAGCUCUUCAUCUUCUUCACCAACCUGCUGAGGGCGUUCAAGUCCACCCUCCCACAGGGAGUGAAGGAAAUCAGCACAAAGCUUGUUUUGGGGAGAACAAUGCAGCCCCAGCCAUAUAAGCUCUGUGUUGUUCCUCGUUAGGCUGCAGUGCAUCACAGAUCAGGAGAAGAAUCAUUCUUCAAGAUUGCUUGACCCCAUAACUUUCCUCCUUGCAGCUCUUAUUCUUUUUCUGGUGUCAGCAUCACACAUUAUCACAAGCUGCUAGACCCUGGGCAAUGCAACUGAACAGUGCAACUGUUUCAUCAUUGUCGUGUGCUCAGAAAGUCUUUGUAAAUUUCUUCCAGAUGUGCUACACAUUAAAAAAUUACAGCAAAGAAAUUUAGCAUCUGACUUUACUUCUCACUGACCUGAAAACUGACUAGUGGGAGGAAGAAUUUAAAAAGGUAGAUGCUGUCAUUUAUUAUAAUAUUGAGGUGACAGGGUUUUAAUAUAAUAAAUCCUGUAAUUCAUGUAUGUGAACUGUGAAUUGAGGUGUUGAAUCUGUAAAGAUCUAUGUACUACUACUGUAAAUCUGUAGCAACUGAGUGUUUCUUUGCAUAAAGAUCUACUAUGCUUUAAUCUGAAAAGGUGUUAAACACAAUAGAAGCAGAGGAGGGGAAGGGCAGUGGCAACAAGGGAGGGACAGAGGGAGGAAAAUGCGCGGAUGUUGUAUGGAAUUAGAUCUCUGCGGGAAGAACUAGUAGAGCAACGGGGAGAUGCAGCCUUCACAGCUGCAAUAGAUUUGUUUAGCUACAGACAAGGUGGUUAAAAAAGCAGUGAAAUGCUGACCAUAAGUCAGGUUCUCAUAACCUCGAUUGUCUCUCUUCUGAUCGUGAAGUUUCUGAAGUUGCGACAGGCACAGGAAGACAACUUCCUCCUGGACCAAUUCCCCUCCCAGUUGUUGGAAAUUGGGCGCAGAUCAAUUUUCAGUUUCAUCGUGAUCUCCUCAUGAAGGUAUUUAUUCUUAGACACUCUGGUUGGUUGACGGUCUAAUGGGCUAAUUGAGAAAAUAAGUGAAAUUUAUUGGUAGCAGAAAGUAGUUUUACAUGCUUGGGAAAGUUGUGGUCAAAGUAUUGUGAAUGUGAAAAUCAGCCUGAUUGCUAAACUCCAUCUCUUUUUAAUGUGGGAUGCGUCAAAUUCAUAUGAAACCUGAUGUUUAUAAGAAUUAAACAACAGGGGACAGUAUUUCUGACUAGUGAAGAAGGAAAAGGAACACAUUUUUAAAGAGGGACUUUCAACAAUAUAGAACUUUCAGACACAUUGGUUUUUAACCCUUAGAGCACUGGCGUUUUUCUAGCUCACCAAAGGAUUAGCACUACGUGUUGUACGUUUAUGUCUGUAGUACUGAAAAGGUUACAAAUCAACAAAUCUCUUCAGUUCUCACUCGUUUUCUUCAGGGCUUGCUGCUUCUCAGUCCAUCAUUGGCCCUUUCUGCUCAAUCCUGCAGUGAAUCCAUAGUGCUCAGUAGAUGACCUCAGCAACUGGGGCAAUGUACAGAUUCCUGUC